Molecule: ribosomal RNA, 480 nt
Filed under: uncultured bacterium
Lineage: Bacteria
Description: partial 16S ribosomal RNA
Source: RNAcentral
GGGCGGUGUGUACAAGACCCGGGAACGCAUUCACCGCGGCAUUCUGAUCCGCGAUUACUAGCAACUCCAACUUCAUGCAGGCGAGUUGCAGCCUGCAAUCCGAACUGGGAUCUGUUUUAAGGGAUUUGCUUCACCUCGCGGCUUCGCGGCCCUCUGUUCAGACCAUUGUAGCACGUGUGUAGCCCAGGUCAUAAGGGGCAUGAUGAUUUGACGUCAUCCCCACCUUCCUCCGUAUUGUCUACGGCAGUCCCUCUAGAGUGCCCAACUGAAUGCUGGCAACUAAAGGCAGGGGUUGCGCUCGUUGCGGGACUUAACCCAACAUCUACGACACGAGCUGACGACAACCAUGCACCACCUGUCUCUUCUGUUCCGAAGGAAACUUCUAUCUCUAGGCUCGUCAGAGGAUGUCAAGACCUGGUAAGGGUCUUCGCGUUGCUUCGAAUUAAACCACAUGCUCGCUGCUUGUGCNGGUCCCCGUCA